AGCCCUGGCUGGGCCUGAAACGGCAAGAACUGGCUCCAAGGUCCUGGCCCUGUCUGAGGAAACUGCCACCCAACACAAUGCCAGCCAUUGUGGGCAGCAGCCGGGCAGACGGAGCCGGAGCUUCCAAGCAGGGGCGGCUGCAGCCGGGCUGGGAGCCUUCACGGGUCAUUAGCUUGCUUAAUGGCGCUGCAGUAGGCCCCGCUCGCCGGCCUCCCCUGAGACACCCAGAGGAGGCAGAGGUCACGAGGUGGUCUGGCUCCUUCUCCAGGGCAGCUGGCACCGUCUGCUCCCCCUACCAGGGGUGCGCCCGUGUGGACACAGGAUGCAGGGUCAGGGAGCAGGGGAGGAACUGAGUCUCCCUUGUGCAGGCACAAAGGCGGCCUCAGGACCAGGGACCCAGCUGGGCACCAGCUGCUGGCUGGCCUGGCCUGCCUGCCAGUGUCAGGGGUCCCAUGGGGGUGAGCCAGAGGCCUGGCUUUCCCCGGGGCCAAAGGGCUCUAGGAGGCAAUAGCUGCUUCCCCAGGGCCCGCCAGAGCCCUGGCAACAGGGUCAUGGGGCGGCCGGCGGUGCUGGGGGGCAGGUGGGUGCUCUGGGUCCGCUUGAUCAUGGUUUCCGGGAAGCAGUGCAGGAAGAUGAACUUGGUGCAGAGCUCCCACAGGCAGGCUAGCGCAAAGCUCCGAGGAAGUGCUCCCAGAUGAACUUGGCCGAGAGCAUCACCAGGGCCACGAGGAGCCCAGUGAUGCUGGGGAAAGCAGGCGGGGCUAGGACCCCACCCCCACCCCCUCCCUGGAAUCCCCCGGCCCACCUGGGUGAUGUUAUCCCAAAGACAGGGACAAGAGAUGAGAGGAUGGAAAUGUCUCUUUGGGAAAAAGGCUGCAGGAGCUGGAGGUGAUGAACAGAGCAGGCGAGAGGAAAGGGAGGCCCCCUCCUCCUGCCAUGUUAGAGAAGGGAGCCCUGGAUCUGGCUGCCACCGGUGGCUUGUGCACACCUGGGGCUGAGGGCACACAGGGCUGCACAUACACAUUCAAGGCCACUGUGAGAACAGGUGAGCAGGGCCAGAGGGCUGUGGAAAGCCCAGCUGAAAGCUGCACUUCCAGGCUGAAGAGCGUUUUACCGGCAUCUGCCAGGAAGCCUGGGCUCUGGGGGCUGUCAUUGUAGAUGACCACUUCCAGGUCGUGGCCACAGCCCCGGUUCUGGUCACAGCCAGGCCACCAAUCCUCCUGCGCCACCCACCCCUUAUCCACCAGGCUGUCUUCAGGGCAUCGGCUGGCCUCAGUUGUGGCAGCCAGACCCUGAUGUUGCGCAAGAAGGCCGGCCAGUCCAUAUCGUGCAGCCUGCGAGGAGGUCAGGUCUUUGUCAGCAAAGGUGGGAAACCAGGGGAGUGGCGGCCCCAGGCCCCAGAGACAUUUGAAAUGACCUCAGAAGACCCAGGGCCACUCAGGGCGACCACAUCGGGGAGCUGCCUCUGACAGGCUGUGACGGAUGUUUAAGGAAGGGAUCGAUGGUCACCUGACUCUCAGGAGUGCAGGAGAGGCCACUGAGGCCCGUUCAGAAGGGACUGGGUGUUGGUCCCUGUGGACUCGGCCUCUGGCUGGUGGUGAGGAAGAGGAUUUCUCACCACCCAUCCUCUGGCCCCUGCUGCCUGAGGGAGCAGACGCCUGUGAGGCGGUUUCCGGGAAGUUCGUCUCCAGCAGGAACUCCAGGCCAAGUGCACGUCUCUGAUCACGUGUCACCGUGGCGGUGCGUGCGUGCGUGCGUGUGCACUGGUCUGUGGCCUGUGGUGUGUGAGUCCCACUAGGACCCAUGUGAGGUAGAGGGUCUUCCGCCUCGCCUCCCAUUCAAGCCCUCCCUGUACCACACAGACACCCAUGUGUGCCCUCCCCUUCUGUGCCAGCAAACAUAGAAGAGAGAGACACUUAAAAGAGGCAACUCGCAUGGAAUGAAGCUGUUUCUGUUGGGGAAUGCUUGGAUGUUCAAUCAUCUUAGAAAAUCCUACGCCACCUCCCGCUGCAGAUUAAUUACUCUAAGUGCAACUCCGAUUGGGCUGGUGACCCCCCAGGAAACCUCUGAAGCUGUCCCAGGCUGUUCCCAACAUAGGGCCUCCACUCUGGCACACCAGGACCCGAGGCCGCGACAGGCUCCUCAUUCCUGCCUCGCUCAAGGCUCAGGUCCCCCACCUGAAAUACCCCCUCCCACCAGCAUCUCCUGCCUCAGUCCUGCUGCCAGGUCCCCAGAAGCUCUUGUUCAUGAGCUUGCCUGCCAUCCACAGCCCCCACCACAACCCAAGUGGCUGUUGAAUUCGCUGCCCUGAUUCUCUGCCCAGAGCCUCGGUUCAGACUGUGUUCCCUGGCGAAUUAGUGUUCAGCAUUUUUGUUUAUUUGUUUGUUCUUUAACAAAAGGUUGUUUUGGUUUGAGAUUCAGCAAAAACACACACUGCAUUCAGCUUCCUCUCCAUUCAGGAUUCAGUAAAUUGGUUGUUUUCCCGUC
Long non-coding RNA from Mandrillus leucophaeus (drill), 2487 nucleotides. RefSeq lists it as uncharacterized. NCBI's taxonomy places the organism in Eukaryota, Metazoa, Chordata, Mammalia, Primates, Cercopithecidae. The record is from RefSeq and is a predicted model, not a curated record. The transcript is spliced from 2 exons.